This 492-nucleotide ribosomal RNA is filed under the name uncultured bacterium. RNAcentral's name for it is "partial 16S ribosomal RNA". It matches the Rfam family "Bacterial small subunit ribosomal RNA", at positions 29 to 507 of the family's 1533-position model. The record is from RNAcentral.
AGUGAACGCUGGCGGUAGGCCUAACACAUGCAAGUCGAACGGCAGCACAGUAAGAGCUUGCUCUUACGGGUGGCGAGUGGCGGACGGGUGAGGAAUACAUCGGAAUCUACUUUUUCGUGGGGGAUAACGUAGGGAAACUUACGCUAAUACCGCAUACGACCUACGGGUGAAAGCAGGGGAUCUUCGGACCUUGCGCGAUUGAAUGAGCCGAUGUCGGAUUAGCUAGUUGGCGGGGUAAAGGCCCACCAAGGCGACGAUCCGUAGCUGGUCUGAGAGGAUGAUCGGCCACACUGGAACUGAGACACGGUCCAGACGCCUACGGGAGGCAGCAGUGGGGAAUAUUGGACAAUGGGCGCAAGCCUGAUCCAGCCAUACCGCGUGGGUGAAGAAGGCCUUCGGGUUGUAAAGCCCUUUUGUUGGGAAAGAAAAGCAGCAGGUUAAUACCCCGCUGUUCUGACGGUACCCAAAGAAUAAGCACCGGCUAACUUCGUG